Molecule: transfer RNA, 72 nt
Filed under: Cavia porcellus (domestic guinea pig)
Lineage: Eukaryota; Metazoa; Chordata; Mammalia; Rodentia; Caviidae
Rfam family: tRNA
About the family: Transfer RNA (tRNA) molecules are approximately 80 nucleotides in length. Their secondary structure includes four short double-helical elements and three loops (D, anti-codon, and T loops). Further hydrogen bonds mediate the characteristic L-shaped molecular structure. tRNAs have two regions of fundamental functional importance: the anti-codon, which is responsible for specific mRNA codon recognition, and the 3' end, to which the tRNAs corresponding amino acid is attached (by aminoacyl-tRNA synthetases). tRNAs cope with the degeneracy of the genetic code in two manners: having more than one tRNA (with a specific anti-codon) for a particular amino acid; and 'wobble' base-pairing, i.e. permitting non-standard base-pairing at the 3rd anti-codon position.
Source: Rfam by way of RNAcentral
AAGGAUAUGGCUCAGUGGUACAGUGCCUGCUUGGCAAGCACCAAGUCCUGAGUUUGAUUCCCAGUAUCAAUA